This 669-nucleotide ribosomal RNA is filed under the name uncultured bacterium. RNAcentral describes it as "bacterial SSU rRNA". It matches the Rfam family "Bacterial small subunit ribosomal RNA", at positions 73 to 755 of the family's 1533-position model. The record is from RNAcentral.
GUGGAGCUUGCUCCGGGUAGAUCUAGUGGCGGACGGGUGAGUAACACGUGAGCAACCUGCCUUUCAGAGGGGGAUAACGUUUGGAAACGAACGCUAAUACCGCAUAACAUCAUUGGUCGGCAUCGGCUGAUGAUCAAAGGAGUAAUCCGCUGAAAGAUGGGCUCGCGCCCGAUUAGAUAGUUGGUGAGGUAAUGGCUCACCAAGUCUGCGAUCGGUAGCCGGACUGAGAGGUUGAUCGGCCACAUUGGGACUGAGACACGGCCCAGACUCCUACGGGAGGCAGCAGUGGGGAAUAUUGCACAAUGGAGGAAACUCUGAUGCAGCGACGCCGCGUGAGUGAAGACGGUCUUCGGAUUGUAAAGCUCUGUCUUCGGGGACGAUAAUGACGGUACCCGAGGAGGAAGCCACGGCUAACUACGUGCCAGCAGCCGCGGUAAUACGUAGGUGGCGAGCGUUGUCCGGAAUUACUGGGUGUAAAGGGAGCGCAGGCGGGGAGCCAAGUUGGAUGUGAAAUACCGCAGCUCAACUGCGGGGCUGCAUCCAAAACUGGUUCUCUUGAGUGAAGUAGAGGUAGGCGGAAUUCCUAGUGUAGCGGUGAAAUGCGUAGAUAUUAGGAGGAACACCAGUGGCGAAGGCGGCCUACUGGGCUUUAACUGACGCUGAGGCUCG